ACCGCGGUAGCCCAGUUGGUUAGGGCGUCGGCAGUAUUGAAGGUCGCAGGUAUGAAUCCUGCCUGCGGUG
Phthorimaea operculella (potato tuberworm) is the source of this 70-nucleotide non-coding RNA. NCBI's taxonomy places the organism in Eukaryota, Metazoa, Arthropoda, Insecta, Lepidoptera, Gelechiidae. The record is from the annotation of a GenBank genome assembly.